CUCAAUAGCUCAGCUGGUAGAGCAGGUCCUUCGUAAGUAGCGGGUCCGUCCGCAAUUGACGUUUGAGACCA
RNAcentral lists this transfer RNA (71 nucleotides) under Cognatishimia maritima. RNAcentral's name for it is "tRNA_Pseudo_CGT". The record is from RNAcentral. Lineage: Bacteria; Pseudomonadati; Pseudomonadota; Alphaproteobacteria; Rhodobacterales; Paracoccaceae.